GGGCGUGUAGCUCAGCUGGUUAGAGUACUUGCUCGACACGCAAGGGGUCACAGGUUCGAAUCCCGUACCGCCCA
RNAcentral lists this transfer RNA (74 nucleotides) under Candidatus Poribacteria bacterium. RNAcentral describes it as "tRNA-Val". It matches the Rfam family "tRNA". From Rfam's summary of the family: Transfer RNA (tRNA) molecules are approximately 80 nucleotides in length. Their secondary structure includes four short double-helical elements and three loops (D, anti-codon, and T loops). Lineage: Bacteria; Candidatus Poribacteria. The record is from RNAcentral.